AGUGAACGCUGGCGGUAGGCCUAACACAUGCAAGUCGAACGGCAGCACAGUAAGAGCUUGCUCUUACGGGUGGCGAGUGGCGGACGGGUGAGGAAUACAUCGGAAUCUACUUUUUCGUGGGGGAUAACGUAGGGAAACUUACGCUAAUACCGCAUACGACCUACGGGUGAAAGCAGGGGAUCUUCGGACCUUGCGCGAUUGAAUGAGCCGAUGUCGGAUUAGCUAGUUGGCGGGGUAAGGCCCACCAAGGCGACGAUCCGUAGCUGGUCUGAGGGGAUGAUCAGCCACACUGGAACUGAGACACGGUCCAGACUCCUACGGGAGGCAGCAGUGGGGAAUAUUGGACAAUGGGCGCAAGCCUGAUCCAGCCAUACCGCGUGGGUGAAGAAGGCCUUCGGGUUGUAAAGCCCUUUUGUUGGGAAAGAAAAGCAGCAGGUUAAUACCCCGCUGUUCUGACGGUACCCAAAGAAUAAGCACCGGCUAACUUCGUG
This 491-nucleotide ribosomal RNA is filed under the name uncultured bacterium. Its description in RNAcentral is "partial 16S ribosomal RNA". It matches the Rfam family "Bacterial small subunit ribosomal RNA", at positions 29 to 507 of the family's 1533-position model. The record is from RNAcentral.